Molecule: long non-coding RNA, 35889 nt
Filed under: Medicago truncatula (barrel medic)
Lineage: Eukaryota; Viridiplantae; Streptophyta; Magnoliopsida; Fabales; Fabaceae
Description: long non-coding RNA (MTRU_LNC005080)
Source: RNAcentral
AUUUAAAAAGUAAGAAUAAAAUAAAAAUAGUUAUCAACAGAGGUUGGGUCUAGCUGAAGGGCUAGACUCACCACAUGGUGAACCGAUGUUCGAAUUCUGGUUGGGAGAAGUAUCCACAUUUAGUGUCUGACAUGUCUCGAUUAGAACUACCUCUAGUAGAGGGAACCUAUGGAAAACCAAAAACAAAAAGCAAAAACAGUUUUUGAAAAGAGAAUUCAAACAUACCUGAGUCUUUUUAUCUCACUUUUAUACGGGCUAUAGUAACUCUUUUUUUGAGUUGAAACAUUUCUUAAGGAUAUGAAAUACCUUGCAUAUGUGCUGGUGUCCGUGCUUAAUCAUUUAAGGGACUUGUUUAACUCUCAAUCCCAACCCCUACUGCUACAAUUUUUAUUUUAUUUUUUUGAAUGGAAAAUGUUAGUAAUUAGUUGUGGAGAAGUGCUAGGAACACUCUUUUCUACAUUCUCUCGAACACUCCACUUAUUUAUUGGGUGGAAUCCAUAUGAGUCUCACCACUUUAUGUGGGACCUAUUUCUAAAGUGUAGGAUCAUCAUUGAUUUCACCAAUGAAAGAGUGUUAAAAAGAGAGUGUUCCUAGCACUCCUCAUUAGUUAUUAGAUUAAUAUGUAUUCCUCCGUCCGGGUUUGAACCUGGGACCUUCAAGAAUAAGAUCCUUGUUUCACUAUAUUUACCAUAAAUUACAAGACAUAGAAAAUGCGUGAAUAGGGCAUUGUGAAGAGAUGACGUAAAACACGUAUUGGAGGCUCAUAAAUCAUACUCAUACCCCUAGUUUCUUUCACUCUUUCAUUGUCUUCAAGCUUGAAAACUCUGCUAAAGUUGUUGCGCAAUGAAAUGUAAAACAGAAAGAUAUGCAAAAUGGUGUGUUUUAUGUAUUUAACCAAUUUAAAUUUUAAUAUAAUUGUAAAUGCGAGACAAUGGUCUUGUUUGUUUUCCUAAGCUGAUUACUUAUGGUACAGGUGGUAGCUGCAAUGAGUUCCAAAGUGCCCUUCAUUAGCAAUGCAAUCAUGAAGGCUACUGGCUGCAGUAUGUAGUUCCUUACUCAUACAUUAUCCGAGUCUUGCUUUGUUCGGUUCUUAUAUAUUUGAAUAGGAAUCACUCAUUUUUGCUGGUAGAUAUCCUACGGAUACCUUGCAAUGCCUUUUUUGGCAACAAUGAGAAAACAUUAGCAACUUCUAUACAUAAUAUAACUAUGUUACAUGAUGUGGUUUCUAUGUACCAUUUGUAGUAGCUAAACGGUUUCUAUGUUACAUAAUUUAACUUAAACCAUUUUCAUGCAGUGUAUCAAACUUUUGUUAUUGAUACUUGUUUGCAGAAAAUUACAAUUGCCCUGCGCAUUGUCAUUUUUGUACCACCUCCUUUAAAUACUUUUCUAUGACAUUAUAUCUUCAUAGUAAUUCAUAGGAUGUUUGGAAUUCUGCAGAUUCAUUCAACGUGUUAAUUAAUAACGGAGCAGCUGCUGGUCAAGUAAUAUUUCAUGUAAGAUUCUCUGUAUUUUCUCUACUGUUAUUAUUAAUUUUGCGGAAUCAUACAUUUAAUUCACAAAUUGUGAAAUUUAAUUUAUUUUCCUAAAAAACAUGUUCAUUUCAGACUCAUAUGCACAUAAUUCCUCGCAAAGCGUAUGAUUGCUUGUGGGCUUCUGAGGUAAUGUUUCAUUUCCAUCUCAUAUUUGAUUUGAUAUGCAUAAUAUGUUGCAAUGUGAGUACUAAUUGAUGCUCAAACCCCUUGUUUAUAUAGAGUUUGCUAAGGCGUCCACUUAAUUUAGACGAUGAGAAAGUUUCUCAACUUGCAGCAUCUAUUCAAGAACAGUUGUUGGUAUCAGACAUUUGCCAAGAAAGUAAGAAUGAAGAAGAUUUUUGUCCAAGUAAAAGUUAAUAGCGUUAUUGAUCUGUUGUAACAUAAUAUUUUCAUUUAGAGGAAUGUUACAUGCUCAUUAUAAUUUAAACAUUACCCUCAAACUCAAUAAAUGAAUGGUUGGGAUUUUCUUAACCAUUGCUUUUAACUUGGUUCAGAAAUACCUCAACUACUCAUUUGUUGAAUGUAUGUUAUUAGUGCAUACAUCAUUUCUCUUGUAUGUUUUUUGAACAAGCAUUUCUCUUGUAUGUUAACGUGUACAGUCAUUUUUGUAUUUUAUUCCCUAAAUGUUGGAACCAUGCAAAUAUAUUACUCCACAUGUUAGCUACUUAUUGAGCUAAUCAGAUCUUAAAUCCAUUCAUACAAACCUUUUGUGGUUGUCACAAGGGGGACUAUUGUUAAUGUUCAUAAAAUUUAAGUCAAGGCCACCCAAUUUCAAUUACAAUUUAUGGUCUAUAUACAGACCUUUGAUGAAACACUAUUUGACAUAAAUGGAUGACGAAUUCAAACAUGUGCCAAGGGCUUAUAUUAAGGAACUUUUUAAAUUAAAAAUAUUAAAUUUUCAAUGUAAAGUUUUUAACAUGUGUUCUUAUGACAUAAAUUAGCAAGAUCCUAAAUGUAUUCUUAGCGAUUAUUACAUCACACAUAGUUAUCAAUGAGAUUUUGAUUAAAACUAAUUUAGUGAAUCUAUAAUCUGAAUCAUUUGCUGCAAACACUAUGUUUUUAUUAAUGCAUGGAAUCCGGCUCCUACUCCACACAAGUGGAUGAAUUAGGGUUUAACUUCAGUUACGGCAUCCGACCUAGCAAUCAAUGUUUUUACCAGUUGAACUAAGACUUGUGAACAAAUUCAAAGUAAGAUAUACCAGUAUCAUUACAGGCUUCACUAACUGUAACUAUCAUACAAUAUCUACUACAUAUGACAUCUAUCAUCAUGGAUUUUGGCAAGAUGCCCUAUUUGUCAAAUUGAAAAGAACAACACCUUUGCUCUCAUGGAUUUUGGCAGAGAUAAUUUCUCUGAAUAGUUGAAGGUUUUGCUUUAGUUCCUCCUCUAAGACAUUAAAUCCUAAAUUACCAACAAAUAUCUGUCAUGGAAAAGUAUGUAAACUACUACUCCCUCCUCCACUUAUUAUAAGACUCCCUUUUGAGAUUUUAUUGUCCCUUACUGUGAGACUAUUUUCAAAAUUUCACAUGCAUCAAUAUUUUUUUUUUUACAAAAAUGGUCUUAGUCGUUUUACAAUUGGUAAACGAAAAUUUGUUCUCUCUCCCUUAUGAUAUCAAUAACUGUUAGAGUAAUUAUGAAAAAGUAACACAUUUUUGACAAAUUUAUUGCUACAAAUACCUUUCUUAAUACACAUGAAUUUUGUAAGUGAGACUUAUAAUAAGUGACAAAAAUGAGUAAUAUAUAUCUGCCAUGCAAAAGUAUGUAAGAGUACACCAUAGAAGUGGAAAUCAUAAAAAUGUUAGGUCUAUGUGACUUACAGUAUUAUUAAGAUUUGUAUCAUACUCUGGUGGAUCUGUAUUCAUUGGGAUUGUACAUAUUGCUUCAAAGGAGAUCCAUAGAUAAAUAUAUUUUCUAACAUAGCAGAAUACUAAAACAAAUUUAAGUUUUCAACUUCCAAACGAUGGCUUUGAUUGUGGAAGGUUUUUGAUGUAUCAUCGUGAAUUGCAUGUUUACAUCAUUAAGAGAAUUAUGUUAAGGAUCUACUUAACAUAUGAAUGGUAAUGAGAAGGAAUAAGUAAAAUUAUCAUACAUUGUUUGGAUAUUACAUGAUGGACUAGAAAAGUUCUCUUUCCAAUGUUUUGGAAGUAAAUGGAACAGUAAGGAGAAUAAUGUACAAUAAGUUAGUCCCAAUCUAUACUCCCAAAAUUGGGAGGAGAAAAAUUAUAUAAUCAACAGUUAGAUGGAAUGGAAUUGAGUAAAUUCUAUAAGUUCCAUUUUAUUCAGUCCCUUUCCAAUCCAUCAACCCCAAGGGCCACUUGAUGUGAAGCGAUGAAGUCCUUGUCACGACGCGAUCCAGGGAACGGUAAGACAAACCACGGUUUGUUACUCAGCAGGUUACCUUGAAUUCUGAUAUAGCACUACGGCUAUAUCAAUGUAUCUUGACAUUUCUUAAGAUGUCAACUCCCUAUUCUGUUUUCAUAUCUUUAUGUAAGGAAAUCCAAGAGAUCAAGUUAGCAGGUACUAAGAGUUGCCAAUCAUGACAUUGUUGCUUUUCACACAACGCUCCAAGCAGGUUCUUUCUUCAUCCCAGUUUUGUUCAGUGAACUUCUAAUCUUUGUAACUUCUUCCCACUGCUCUCCAUCAGCACAAAUGUUUGAAAAGGACACAUAAGCACCAACAUCACUUGGUUCCAAUCCCAUUACUUUUUCGGCUGCUAACUUCCCGAGCUCAAAAUCACCAUGAACCUUACAAGCAGCAAGCAGUGUUCCCCAGAUCAGCGCAUUAGGCUCAACAGGCAUGUUGUUUAUGAAACUUUCAGCUUCUCUUAAUCUACCAGAUCGACCAAGAAUAUCAACAAUACAAGCAUAAUGGCGAUGACUCGGUGUAAUCUUGUAGUCUUCAAUCAUUGAGUUUAGAUAGAAGAAGGCUUCUUCAACCAGUCCACUAUGGCUACAAGCCGAUAGAAUCCCAACAAAAGUUACUGCAUCAGGUUCAACUCCUUCACUUUUCAUAAGUUCAUAUGCAGCUAAAGCAUCUGCCCCUUUACCGUGUUGAGCAUAGCUCAAUAUGAGGGAUGUCCAACCUAUAAGGUCGGGCUUCUCGACAUCAUCAAAUGCUUUGCGACAAUCUUCAAUACUUCCGCAUUUUGAGUACAUUGUCAAUAGUGAACUUCCAACCGAUACAUCGGCUUGUAACCCCAACUUUUCAAUGUAGGCAUGCAAUUGUGUUCCAAUGUCUGAUUGACACAAAAGUGAAGCAGCCCCAAGAAUGGAUGUAAUUGUGAAGGCAUCAACUGUUUCAUCAUUUCGAAGCAUAUCAUGGAAUAACAAAAACGACUCUUCGAUUAAACCAUUUUGGGCAUAUCCCGAGACCAAGGAAGAGCAAGCAAAAGCAUCCUUAUGGGGAAGGAUAUCAAACACCUUUCUUGCCAAACUCAAGCUUCCACACUUAGAAUACAUGUUUACAAGUGCACCACCAACAACUGUGUUUGUUCCUAGUCCUAAUCGAAAAGUGGAACCAUGAAUUUCUCUACCUGUCCGCAAUAAACGAAGAUCAGCACAAGCAGUUAGAAUCGAGAUUAAUGUAAUAUGAUCAGGUACAACUUCUUGAUAUAGCAUUUCUUUAAAUAGUCGCAGAGCUUGAUCGGGAUAUCCAUGCUCUACAAAACCAGAAAUCAUAGAGGCCCACGAGACAUUAUCUUUGACAAUAGCUUGUUGAAAAACUUCAUAAGAUUCCUCUAAACAACCACAUUUCGAGUACAUUGUAAAAAGCGAACAACCAACAGUAGCAUUGGUGACUAAUCCAGCUUUCAAAAUGUAACUAUGCACCUGUGACCCUAGACUUAAGCUGCUCAUAAUACUAAGCAAACUCCCAAUACAAUACUCAUCAGGUUUCACUCCUUCUCUUAACAUUACAGUGAAUAAUUCAAGUGCCCUUCCAGAAUUUCGGUUUUGAGCAAAAGAAGACAACAUGGAUGCCCAUAUGCCCGGAUCCUUCAUAUUUUUCAUCUCGCUGAAGGCUAACUCAGAUAAUCCAACUCCUCCUAUUUUUGCAUACAUGUUGACUAAAGCAGCUCCAACCUUAACAUUCAAAAUCAACCCUAAUUUUAAUACCAAGGAAUGAAUUUGUUUUGCUUCCUCGAUCAGCUCAGGUUUAGCACAUGCAGAAAGUACACUAGUAACGGUGUAGGCAUUUAUCUCAUGCCCUAUUUGUCGCAUAUCUUUGAAUAGCUUUAGUGCAAAAGUAGUAUCAUCCUGUUGCACAAACCCAGAAAUAAUAGCAGUCCAAGAAACAACAUUUUGUACUUGCAUCUGGGAGAAUUGUCUAUAAGCUUCGCUCAUACAUCCGAAUUUUGCGUACAAGUCAACGAUAGCAGUCUCCACAAAGACAUCCGUUGCACCACAUUUGAUCGCCAAUCCAUGAACUCCUUUCCCAAUCUGCAUCUCUUUAAGCGCACAACAAGCCGUUAAGAUGCUCGGAAAUGUGUAACUAUUUGGCAUUAAAGAUGCGCGACACAUUUCACUAAACAGAUUCAAAGCAACCUGGUUUUCUCCAUUUUUCACUGCCAAAGAAAUAAUAGCAUUCCAACUCGCCACAUUAUCACACGAAGCAUCAUUAAAAAACCUCAAAGCUUCACUAAAGUUACAAUUUUUACAAAACAUAUCCACCAUUUGAGUCUGAACAUAACCACUCGACAAAAAACCAUUUUUCACAACAAGUGAAAAAACUUGCAAACCAAACAUCGAAGCCUGCAAAGCAACACAAGCAGAAAGAACACUCCCAUAACUAAACUCAUCAGGCUCAAAACCAAACAAAUGCAUCCUACAAAACAUCUCCAACGACUUCAAAAACAUCGAAUUACGAACGUAACCAGAUAUCAUAACAUUCCAAGAAACAAUACUCGGUUGAGUAAUUGUAUCGAACAGCUUAUGAGCAAGAACCAUAUCAGAAGAUUUACAAUACAAACCAAUCAAUGAGUCCAUGAAAAAGAUACCAGAUUGUAAAUAAUGAGUUUUAAGCAAAUGGGCAUGCAGGAUUUUUGUGUUUCUAGCAUUGUGUUGCGGUGAAAACUUGUAAUCACGCAAAAUCACAAAUGGGUUUGGAAGGGAAGAGGUGAAUCUGCAUGAAAGUUGUGAACUUUUUGUGUUGAUUAGUGAAUUUUGAAGGAAAGUGCGAAGGGGAAACAAUGUGAUAGCCAUGUUGAGUAUUAUUAUGGUGAAUUUUCAUUUGAUUUUAAAAAAUGAAGCAUAGUGAAAGCAUGAUAGUAUGUGAUAAUCUACAUUAUUGGUACUCUUGCAAUUCAGUGGCAUAAGGAAAAUCAAUAAUACAAGCCAAAACUAUGGGAUAAUUCAGUGGCAUAAGGAAAAUGUUCAACGGUUCAAAGCAUUUUGAAAUCCUCUUUGUUAUAUAGGAAACAGACACAAUUUAUAUUUUUUUGGUAAAUUUUUAAAGGUUUCAUUUUAAUCCCUAUAAAUUUUCUAAUCACCAUUUUAAGUCCUUAUUUUUAAGUCAACUCAUGUGUAGCAUUUGUAUUUUUAAUGAAAUUAUGCAAAAAUGUUCAAUAGAAUUUUUUAAUAAAACAGAAUUAAAUAUGAUUUUUUAACUGCCAACAAUAUAAAAAUUAAUAUUUAAUUCAUGUUUUGUUAAAUAUGUCGGAUGUCAGUGAUUCGGACUUAGGCCUUUAUAAUCGCACGAAACUUAAAGGUUCUUACUCAAAGGCUUUCAAAACUCCGCAAAGUUAAUCUUUCUGGUAAUAUCUACAUUAAUGAUUCAUUGUUUUUUCAACUGUGUAUGAACUGGGAACUUCUGGAAGAGGCGGUUAUGUUUGAAUGCCCUUUCAUAACAUGUACUGGUAUUGCUUAUGCAAUCUUCAUACUUCAUUGAUUCAUUGGCGAGUUUGAAGCGCUUAACUUGUCUUGACCAGUCCUUUUCAUGCAUUACUGAUUUCUUGCUUUGCUCUCUAGCACUUGAAGCUCUUCCUUUGAGCAAACUUGUCUCCCAAGAUUACUGCACAUAUACACAUAUACCGGGAUCUCUUAUCUCUUGUCAAAGUGUCGAUUUCUGCAACAUCUAGAUCUUUAAAAUGCAAUCUUUUUGAAUAAUUGUCGUUUCAAUGAGUUGUAUGUAUUUCUUGAUGAUUUCGUGUCUAUAAAUGUGAGUGGUUGUGAGUUGUGACAAGCUCACCAAUUCAGCCUUGUUCGCACCUCCUUAAGAAUUGUACUUUGCUAAGUGAGAUCAGAAUCGAGUCAACACAAAUUGGAAUAGGUUCAAUACCGUCAAAGGAUUUUUGGUUGUAUACCAUCAAAUGAAGUCUCUUCAUUUGGCUUACAAUUCAUGUUUGCAAGGUGAAGAAAUCAAUAUGUAUGCUUACAUGUUUCCUAAUAUGGAGCUUCUUGAUUUGAAUUCUUGUGAUGGCAUAUAUGAAUGAAGGUAUUGGUAAAGUGUUAAAGAAAUGUUGUAAUACCAGGCAUUUGAACUUUGCCUUCUGCCCACAAGCUAAGCAUUUUUGGAUCAACUUUGAAGCUUCCAAACUAGAGGUGUUGGUUGAACUUGUCACACUCAAGAAUUGAUGAUAAAGUACUGUAUGCGAUCUCAAAGAUUUUCCCUCGGCUUUUGCAACUAGACCUGGAACGUUGUUAUGAUGUCACCGAUAAGGGGAUGAGGCUAGUGGUAGAAAACUACACACACCUGAGACCUUAAUUUGCGAUAUUGUCGUAAUGUGUCGACUACUAUUGUAGUCUGGAUGAUAUUUUGAAACCAUGGUUAAGAAAAAUAACAGCUCCGGGUCAUUUUCGUCCUAAUCACUAUUAUAGGAAACUCUUCUUGCAUCAAUGUCUUGUUUGCUAGUGUUCUGGAAAUUCUCCGUUCGACUGUAAGAUUUCUAUGAUUCAUAAGUUACUCCUCUGAGAUUUUUUAAAUAAUGUGAACUUCCAUUUGUUUUAUUUUGUUACUGGUUUGUGCAUGAUAACUCCAUGAGUAAUAGCAUUUUGUUGACUAAUAGGAUACAUUGACCAAUAUAAUAGAUAUGGAUUGCUUUAUAUUUAGCUUUGAUGACUCUGCUACCAGUCAUGUACCCAGUUUUCUGUAUUACACAUAUUAUUUCUUUAUUGACUUUUCUGCUUAUUAGUAACCCCUUUUAGUUAUGUAUUGAUUAAAGUUCAACUAUUUUUUUCUUCUGUUUCCAAUCGUUGUAUCAAAGGCACAUGGAAAAAAUUAAGUAUGCAGUCCAUUGAAGCAAUGUUUCAACUGUGAAUUAAUGGAUCUAAAGACCUGACAUUUUGUCCUCUGCAGUCAUUAAUGAAGCUGGAACAUUAGAGAGAAGAUUUAAGAAAUUGACCAUAAAAAUCUAUCAAAGUAUGUCAUCGAGAACUUCUAUCAUCAAUUCUCGCUAUCGCAGAACCAAACACACGCUAUAUCUUUUACGAAAUAAGCAUGAGUUAACCAUCAAUGAGUCAUCCCCCCAACAUCAGCAAGGAAUGUGAUUAAGGCUUGUGCAAGUUGGUUUAGUUCGAGAGGUACAUAGGUACCAUCAAAGAGAAAGAAGAAAGGUCUCGUGACAACAUGGGAGAUGUUUAGUAUGGUUCAUGUAUAAACACAUUAGAGGGGUGGGCGAGCUGAGCUAGCGUAUUGUUUGCGAUUUGUGUUUUCUGUAAUCUUCUGUUACUAGUUGCUGCUCUAAUAGGAGGACCUUGAUCUUUCAUCUUCUGAAAAAGAAGAUGAAGAGGAAGCUAACCUCUGGUGGCAGAUGUAGAACCAGAUGAUGAAUCAUGUUCAGAAGAUGAUAAUGUAUUUUCUUACUAUCCCUUUGAUUUAGAACCAGCUUAUGACAAACUACUUACAGACACCUCUACUCUAUUAAAAAAGUAUGAUGUUUUAAGAAGCAAAAGUCACAAAUUGCAAAACAGAUGCAAUGUGCUCAAAGAAGAUAAGUUGAAAUUAAUUAAAGUGAGUGAAGAGGUUCAAGUUGAAUGAAAUUCAAAAUUUGAUUAAUUCAACAGGUUGGAACUAUAAGUUUUUCACUAAACUUGUUUAUUUUCUAUCUUAAUAUUUCUGCCCAUUACAUAAAGAAAGUAAAAGUAGGGAUGACAUAAAUGUAAAUGAAAUAUUUAAUAUAUAUAUACACGAAGAACUUUGUAGAAUUUUUUGAACAAAGAGCACAUAGCUUCACUUUAUUCAGGUACUUAAUUAACAUGAAAAUAACUUCAUUGAGAGAAAAGAAUGUACACAAUUGGUUUUAUGAAGCAUAAGUUUCUUAUAGUUUUUUACCUUCAAUAACUUGAAGGUACACAACUGAAUAAUAUACCUUGAAAGAGAGUCUUGGAUUCAAGGACAUUAUUAUGCAGUGUGUGUGAUGUUAACAACCCUAUGCAAUCUCUCAAGAAUUCCACUAGCUUUUCUCUUAGCCCUUGAAGUUCCACUUUUUGCAAGUUCAGAAAUUGUUCUGUGACUGUUCUCCUCUUCCUUUAUUUCCCUCAACUUGGAUCUAUCAUAAAGACAUAUAGUUUGAAGGAUUGCGACACAGUUCUCUUUAUUGCGUUCGCACGAGCUCUCUCGCAUAAUGCUUAGCAAACAAGGAACAGCUCCAAGCUCUGCCAUUUCAAGGACAGCCUUCUGAUGAGUCGAAAGUAGGGCAAGGAUAGCUAGUGAUUCGUCGACGUGAACUCGGUUUUUCAUCUUUGCCAUAAUCACUCUAACCGCACCGUCUUUCACUGCUAUUGCUUUGUUGUCAUGCAUCAUACAUAAAGUGAAUAUUGCUGAAGCAACAUCCUUCAUAGCUAAGGGAUUCCCUUCUUCCAAUAGGUCGAUAAGCGGUUUUAAGGCAUUGGAUUUUCCUAUAAGUUCUUUGUUUGAGUCUAGUGCUGAUAACGUGAAAAGGGUUGCUGCAGCGUUGGCUCGUGUUUCGAUUGUUCCACAUCUCAAAGCCUUCUUGAGGAUUGGAAUUACCAUUGGAAUUUCAGCCACUUGUUUCUUGUUGUUGUCAUGUAUCGAGAUAUUGAGGAGGGUUGUGAUCACAUCUUCUUGAAGUUCAUGGUUAAUACUAUCUCCUUCACAAAUUGGCUUAAGCAAUUGAGGAAUUGCAUGUUCGAAAUCACAAAAAAGUACUCGAAAACAAGGAUGCUUCUUUGUCAAUAAUCUAAGUUGUUUUGCAGCUUCUUUCUGAUCACAAAGUGUUGAAGACAUUUUCUCAAGCAAACAUAAAAAGUGACUCUGAUCAGCUUCUUUAGCACCUUCAUCGCUAAUGUAACUCAUAGCAUUGCACAAUUCAAGUCCUUGAUUUUUAGACCAUUUUUCUAUCAUUUCUCUUAUAAGGUGAUUUGGAGUAAGCAGAGUGUGUGAGAGAACUUGAUGAGUUUGAGGACAUGUCCUAUUUCCAGCAUUAAACCAUCUUUGAAUGAAAGGUCUAUCAUAUGUCUGCAAAAUUUAAACCAACAGAAAUGUCAUGUAUUGUUUUUUUUACUUAACCAUCGAGUUUCCAGGGGAAAUGGGCCCUCGUAAUCCAAAGUUUGAUAGGUAAGUAACUAUAGUCUGACAAAGAAUUAUUCCAAUCAAGAUUCAAACUCGAGUUAUCCCAAACAAUUUGUUAUAGUAAACCAUUUAAACUCAACCACUUGUUAAAAUAUCAUGUAUUAACCAUAAAAAGGUAAACAAUAUAAAUUUCAUUAUUAGACCAGAAAAAUCUCCAAUAUGUUUUAAGUCAUUAUUGAUUGAAUAAACACAAAUCUUGAAGCAUCAAUGCUGAGAAAAAAAGAGGGAGACAGAGAAAAGAAAAGGUAGUUUUGGUGGGGAAGGCAUCAAUGUUAAAAAUUGGGAGAAAGGAAAAAAGUUAAGAACAAUAAAAUUUUAAAUAUUCCCUUUUGAGAAAAUCAGUCAAAAGUUUUACACAAAGAAACAAUCACCACCACUACUCACUCAAGAGUGUCUCAAGAACAAAGAAUAUUAUCUACAUUUUUUAUUUCCCACUCUUUCUCUUUCCAUCUACACACACAUUAUAUAUAAAUUCAGAAAAGCUAACAUAGUAGAUAAAGUGAACACAAAACAAAACUAACUUGAGAUUGAAAGAGCAUUAAACAACAAAAACAGAAAGAUAGAAAGAAAAAAUCUAUUUUGGAUUGAAAGAAAACAACAAAAGAAAAGAGAAAACUACAAUUCCAAAUAAUGAAAUGACUUAUCAUCAUCAUAUACACUUUUUUUUUUAAUUAAUAAAAACUAUAUAUUUAUCAUCAUUGUAUAGAAAUAUACAUUUCUAAGGUUCUGAAUGAAGAAAGAACUGAAUAUAUUCCUUUUCUAUCUUUACCACACCUUUAUGGUCACCAAACAUUGAAUAAAGUACCAAAAUUCCAGCAAAACCAGAAUCAAUAAUCUUAUAUAUCUUCUUCCCUUUUAAUUCUAAUUCAAUCAAAAUAAAAAUAAAAAAUCUAUUUCUGUUAAGGAACAUUUUAUCCCAUUUUUCCUAAUGUAUGAUAAUUAAUGAACUUUUUCAUAACAGUUACAUAAAAGAAUAAAAAGUCAAACAAAUAAAAUACUAAUUUUAAUGAAAUUUAAUUUUUUUUUACCUUAUGUUUCCAACAUUUUCACAGUAAUAAUAACUAAGAAAACAGAAAAAUUAAAACUAAUACACCAAAUUUGUGACACUAACCUGACCAGAAGCAACAAUGACAGGAUCUCUCAUAAAUUCCUUGGAAAGUGGACAUUUGAAUUCAUCUGGGAAAGUAACAUUCUUGUUUAUCUUAAAAGACAUUGAAUUUGAAGAUUGAGAUUUCUUUCUUAGCUUCAAAUCUUUAAGAACACAAAGAGUUUCUUUUGCUUUAUCAAUUGCUUCAAUGCUUAUAUCUUCAUCAUCAACAAUGGACUUCACAAGCUUUUUCAACUCCUUCUUCAACUCUAAAGCUUUCUUCAACAUAACUUCUGGAUCAGAAUCUAACACCCCUGGUUUUGCCAUGUUUAUGAUGAUCCAAUGAAACAAAAAGAUUCAAUUUUGAUGAUAGCCCAGAAAAUUAAAAUAUUGAAUAUUUUUCAUAGAAUGAAGAUGCAGAGAAUAUCAGUGAAAACACUCUGUUUUCAGAUUCUCUCUCUCUACUUAGGUAGCUUCUGAGCUCAGUAACAAUGAAUUGUGUUAAGAGAAAAAGAAAGACACAAAACUUAGUGUUUCUCUCACUAGACUUUGUUUUUUUGUUUCUUAUAUAUAAAAAGAUCUCAUUUCAUUUCAUUGAUUUGAGUAUAAUUGAUGCCCAAGUUAUUCACUCUAAAAUAAGUGAGAGAAAAGGAAAAAAAAAGUUAUAUUCUUGUUUGAUCUUAUCCUACAAGUUUCACAUGAGCCAUUGGUUAAUUUUAGUUGUAUUCUUUUUUUUUUUUUAAUUUAAAAUGAUAAUAAUGCACAUCAAGAUAUUUAAAUAGAAAAAGAUUAAAUUUGUAACUUGGUUUCUACUUCUAGAAUGAGAUUAUUUUAUAGUUAACAAAUUCACCCUUUCAUGACUACUUUUUUUACAAUGGGAAAUGGAUAAGGAAACAAAAUAGUUGAUGUAUAUUUUAGGCAAUGCAAAAUAGUUCAAUCAAAGUAUUUCAAUUUAAACUCUAACCAAAAUAAUUUUUUGUCAAAAUUUAUUUACCUUUCACUGUAAUUUUGAAUGGUAAUCCCCUUUACCCUUGAACUUGACAAAAAAUAUAUAUAGGAUGGUUUAUUAGAAGUUUUGAUUACAAAGUAUUUAAAGUUUUAUAUCAUAAAAAAAAGUUAAAUUUUGGUUUGUCGUAUAACUAUUUUUAGAUUGAAGAUGGGUGGAGAGGGGUCAUAUGUUCAAACACCCUAAUCAUAUAUUAAUGAAAGAAGAAAAAGGUAUAAAAAGAUGGGGAAAUAGACCAAAAUCCGCGAUGAAAAUAAAGUGCAAAAAAAAGAAAGAUAAACCCUUCAAAUGAAAACCUUUAAAACUACUUACCAUAUACUUGGUAGAGUAAUUCCCUUUGCUAAGUUCAACAUGUUGACUUCCCUGGUUCUUCUUUUUCCUUAAGACAACCGGUUAACAUUGUCGGUAAAAAUUUACAUGUUAGCCUAAAUUCUCUCAGAAAGUUCACGUCUUGUUGGACCACCGAAGGAAUAGGUAUAAUUAAAAGAGUAAGUUGUAGUUUUGCUCUAUCGAUCUCUAAUUCCUGCUCAUUUGCCAAUUGUGUUGCAUCAUCAGAAGCAAUAACAUCAUAAGAUGCGAUACCGCUCCAAUAUGGGGGAUCUUGACAAUAACCCAUAUUGAUCAUUGCAUCACAUAAAGGACCAAUGAUACGUAAAUCAUGAAUGCUCCGUUGGUCCUCCCUACGAUUCUCAUUUGGAAUCGUGUCAUGAACUAAGAUAUAUUUCACCUGCAUUGUUUUCGCAUGAACUGUUCCAAAAACAACAAGAUAUAUCUCUUCCUCAAGAUUACCGAUGCCUCCCACAUGAACAGUAGCUGCCCUCUCUUUAGACCUUAUUAUUUCAAUUUUCUACAACAACUUGCAACAUUGUUUGGAACAAUAGUGGGAGGCAUUAGGCUGCACUUUGUUCUUGUGCAUAACUACCAAGCUUGCAGUAGUUUUUGAGCCUCAUAUUAGCAAUUCGGAAAAGAAUGUUCAAUUAUCUGACAUAAGUUGUAGAAAAUAAGGAGUUUCUCAUGUGCAACAUCCACAUAAAAAUCAAAAUCAUUUCUUUCAACAAAGAUUUUUUCAUGCCAGUUAGAAUUUAAAUCAACAAUUUUAGAUUUGAAAAGGGAGAAAUUGUUAUCGGUUAAAGUAACACUAAUUAUUUAUUAUCUACAAUCAUUUUUCAAAAAAUUUGAACUUGGUUACUGGACCGUCAAUAUAUUCCUAUGGACCUAAGAGACCUUCAAAAAGGUUCUUAGACCCUCUUAAAGGAUUUAGCACCCUCCAAAUGGGCCAUAAGGCCUAAAGCGCGUCCUCCUUAAGGCACUGCCUCAAGCUGCUUUUAGAAGGCUCUAGAAAGCCGCCUAAAUACCUAAAUUACCCCUAUUACUUACUGCCUAAGUAACCAUAAAUCAGGCUCAUAGAAGGCUAUAAAUACAACCUUUGAGAGCAUUCUCAAGGCAUGAUCAAUACAAUACAAAACCCUAAUACGAUUAUUGUACUUUUGCAAGCAUAGUCACUUUGUCAAUUGUCACCUCACAAACAAAAGAAAAUAUAUGAUAAUAUAAUUAUGGCUAAAUUGCAUUUUUGGUCCCUUAACUAUUUAGAUAGUAUCGCUUUGAUCCCUUAAUUAAAAUUCGAUUUAUUUUGGUCCCUUAACUUAUCUUCGUUACACAUUUUGGUCCUUUCCGUUAGUUUUAAUUCAAAAACGUUAGAUUUUCUUCAUCUUCUUCUCCUCUUUUUAAUCAUCAUAUCAUCUCCAUCAACCUUCAACAACAAGAAUCCCAGAAAAAUUCUAGAAGAAAAUGAAAUAUGGUGUUGCAAAUAGAAAUUAUUUAACUUUUUCUAACACGCAUUUUCAAUUUCCGAAUUACCUGCUUUGAAAUAUAUUACUCCCUCCGUCCCAUGAUAACUGAGUCGUUUGUAAAAAAAUAUUGUCCCAGUAAUCUUGAUCCAUUUCAGUUUCCAAUACAACAUUAAUUGCUUUUUUCCAAUUAUAACUCUAAUUAAUACUUUCACCACUUCCAAUUCAAUAUAUUCUACUUUACAUUUAUGAUAAAGAAGAAUUCAUCAAUACUUGAUAAAGACACUCAAAACGAUUUUUUUUCUCUCUCUCUCUCUCUCUCUUUCAUUUAUACAGUUUUCUUAAUCCGUGUAAAAAGCUCAACUAGCUCAGUUAAAUUGGGACGGAGGGAGUAGCAAGAUAGGUAUACUUCCUAGUUUUUCUUCUACAAGAGACAUUUUCUGGCUCUACAAGCUAACUUCUGAAAUUAACACAGUUUUGAAUGUGAAAAAGUUUUUACUUUGAGGAUGGAACGCGUAUAGUUCAAUAAAUGUAGCACUAAAAUUGUAAAAUAUAUUGAACUGCAUUAAAGGUUCCGUUAAUAGAAAUGCAGAGUACUAUUAAGGGCCAUUAAAUACUUGUUCUAAAUGAUAGUAAGUCGUUGAUAUUUAUUACUAUAUCCUUAACUACUCCCUUCAAUCUUUUUUAAAAGAAACAAAAAUAUUAUUUUUUUGGUUAUUUUUAUAAGAAAUAUUUCAUUCGUCCCAAAAUAUAAGCAAAAAUGGAUCAACAUAAAUUGAUGUAUCUGGUAUAAAUUUUGAACCAAAUACAUUAACUUUUAUUGACCAAUUUUUCUUACAUUUUAGGACGGACGAGGUAGUGAACAAUUUUCAAAUGUAUUGGAAACUAAAGUUCAUAUAUGCUCUUAUUUAUGAUGUGAGAGUAUUAAAAGUAAGCCGGUGGAAUCAAGAUUAAUUAAUACUCCAUCCGUUUUUAAAUAUAAAUAAAUUUUACUUUUAGGUUCAUUCAAUUAAUGAUGUAUGUGGUUUAUAAUAUGAACCACAUACAUCAUAAUUGAAUGAACCUAAAAGUAAAAUUUGCUUAUAUUUAUUUAGAAACGGAGGGAGUUUAAGGGUAUUCCUAGAAGAAAUGUAAAUGUAUAGGAGUAUCAAAUGAAACCAGCCAUUUUCAACGUACUUCCUUGAUUUUGAUGAUUUAUGUUUUUAGGGAUAUUUAUUAAUCUUUCCUUUUUCAAUUCUUUAACUUAUUUUGCCAAAACCAUUAAUGAACGAUGAUUUUGUAAAAUUAUUAUAAUUUCUUUUUCUUAUGCACAAUUAAUUAUAUUUUUAAUCUAUGUAAACUAGCCAAAAUGACUUAUAAUUUGAGAUGAAGGAAGUAUUAAUUUUUAGGUUUAAAUAUGUCUUUAGUCCUUGCACUUUCAUCAGAUUUUGGCAUUGGUCCCUACACUUUUUUUUGUUUGAAAUUGGUCCCUGCACUUUGUAAAAAUAUUGGUAUUGGUCCCUCUGUUAACUUUCUGUUAAAAAAAAACACAAAACUAUUGGUAUUGGUCCCUGCACUUUGUAAAAAUAUUGAUAUUGGUGCCACGUGGCGUGAAAUGAUUGGGCCACGUGGCACUCCGUUGGUUUUGUGUUUUUUUUUUUAACAAAAAGUUAACAGAGGGACCAAUACCAAUAUUNGGACCAAUACCAAUAUUUUUACAAAGUGCAGGGACCAAUGACAAACAAAAAAAGUGCAGAGACCAAUGUCAAAAUCUGAUGAAAAUGCAGGGACCAAUGACACAUUUAAACCUAAUUUUUAUUCUCACAUUUUUGUCCAAAUGUCAAUCAAAUACAUUUUACUUUUGCUUAUUUUUAUGACCGAGAGUUUAUAUGUUUUACUUCAAACAUCUAUUUAUCUUAUAUUAUUUAUCAUUUUAAUUUUUUCCUUUGGCUCUUGUUUUUCUCUCUCUUUUUUGGAUUGUACUUGGACUUUGAUGUCUUCCUAAGCACGUCGUUAACUCUUUAAUUUUUAGGUGGUUACAUAUUUCAUUUUAGCCUCUUAAAAAAAAUUGUAGUUAAGAAAUAUGCAAAAUACUUAUGAAUAAAUAUGACAAUAUUUUAUAUAAAUUAUUCAAAAAAAAUUGUGUCCAGUUUUUAAACUUUAAUUUUUGUUACGGUGUACUCCAUCCGUUUUAAAAUGAGUGUCGCUUUAGCCAAAAAAAAUUGUUUCAAAAUGAAUGUCACUUUACAUUUUCAAUACAACUUUAAUUUUUUUUUCUUCGAACUCUACCCUCAAUAAAUACUCCAAUUUUUUUCUCACACAACUUUCAAUGCAACUUUAAAUUUGUCUUUUUCAUAAAAGUGUUAUGCUUAAUGAUUAUUUCAUUCCACUACUUAAUUUGUGUACAAUUGACUAAAACGACACUUAUUUUGAAACGAAUGGAGUAAUAUGCUUUAUUUUUUGGGUGCCAAAAUGGCUAAGAAUUUAUAGGAUGUUGGUCAACUAUACAAAUGGUGAUAAAAAAGGAUCUUCAUUCAGCAAGCUUGAGUGUGGAAGAAGAAUCCAAAACAUGCAUAUAUUAAGAUGGUAGCAUGUCAAUCGAGUUAACCCAUAUUUUGAUUGGAAGUAUAAUUUUCAUAUGGAAAAAAACAAAUUAAAAAUAACUAACUUUUCAUACUAGAAAAAACCUAAUUAAUAGUAUUAUUGAAUUGGAAUGCUGACAAGUAAGGGAAGUGGGUGCUACUAGCCAGCAUGACAGAUAAGUGAUAGUUCAUCCACCUUCUCAUUUCCAAAAAAAUGAAAAGAGAAACAUGCAUUUUCUUUGUGUUAACUAUUUUUUUUGCUGGGGUUCAAACUUUACAUAUAUUCUAUGCAUUGUUCAUACUAAUUGAGUUAAGUUUAUGAUGACUUAUGUUAACUAUUCUAUCUUAAGAGAAAUGAAUUCUGAUAAUUUGAAAUUUAGUUGGAAAGUAGCUAAAAUCUAAUAAAAAAUUUGUACCAAAAAAGAAAUCUGAUAAAAAAUAUUUCAUUCAAAAAUUAAACUUAUUUAUCAUAAACAAUUUAUUUUUGAUGAAGUUCGUUACCGCUUAAGCUUAUUUACUUGAUUAGAAAUACAUUUUUAAGAGGAAAAAGAAAAGAUAAAUAUAUAAAUAACAGUAACAUCAUUUCAUUAUUUUAUUUUUUUGGUUACAACAUCAUUUCAUUAUUUUUCAUUUGGAACAUUAUAUAUGAAAAUUAAAUUGGUAUUUUUUUAUGCAAAACAAUUAAUUUGGUCUUUGUUUAGUUGCGGGGGGGAAGUGUGUAGUGUAGCAAAGAGUGAAGGAAAUAGAUGGGUCCCACAUUUCGAACGCAAUCACGGAAUCCACGUACUUAACAGCUGGCAUAACGCGUGGGUUAAAUAAAAACUUGCUUUCUACUCGUCUCCGCCAAUGGGAUCUUUUCUGCUACAUCAGGUACCAUGUUAAAUCAUUGUACCCAUUCCAAUAAAGAAUUCAAAUUAUCAUUUUAACCCAUUCAUUUUUAUCUAUUUGCUAUUAUGGUUCUUCUAUUUCUGAAUUUGUAAUUUUGGUUUCAUUUUAAAAAUAUCUAACUUUUUCAGUUGUACGAAUUAUUUAGUCUUUUAUAAUUAUUGUAAGGGAUCAAUUUGUUAUUUUUUAAAUUAUUGUGUAUGAUUAAAUUGCCUUUUGUACUAUUCAAAAAUGUAAAAAUUGUCUAUUAGUAACUUUUGUGGGUAUAGAUAAGUGUAGUUGAAAAGUUGGUUCAUAUUAUGGAAAAGGAGCUUCGGGUGGAAGGAAAUUGGAAGAUAUUGUGAAGUUUAAAACGAGUAAAAGUUUUUCUCCGACGAGCGGCGUAGGGUUGUCUCUUAACUAGAGACCAACUGCAAACUAGAGGAAUUCAAUGUCGAACAUGUGCGUUCGUUGUGACAACUCUUAUGAAAAUGAUUGACAUUUUUAUUCGAGUGUCCUAAAGUAGAAGAAGCUUGGCUCGAAGUGGGUUUAUUGGAAGUAAUAGAUAAUAAUUUGAAAAUAGUAGAUGGUUUUGUGGCUUUGUGUUUUCAGCUGCUUGAUUUUUUUGGGUAGAAAGAUAUUUGAUUCUUUGUCACACCAUAAUCUCUGUUUGUUUGCGAUGACGUUGUGGGGUAUUUGGAAGCGUAUGAAUGCUAAAUUGUGAAAUGAUGUCAAAACUCCAUCACGUGAGGUUGUCUGUUUAUAGGGCCCAAUACGUUACUGAGAUGGUAACAUAUAAGGCGAAGGUGUGAGCGAUCAAAAGCAAGUAGGGAUAAGCCAAGGCAAGGUCACGCGUGAAUACCACCAUGAGGCCGCGUUGGCAUAAAUAAAAAAAAUAUGAUCUUUAAAAACCAAUGUUGAGGCAACAAUUUUUACGAAGAAAGAAAAAUAUGAUAUUGGGAUGUGCUUGCGAGAUGAUGAGCGGAAAUUUAUAGUAGCGAAAACGUCUUAGUUUCAAGGAAUACCACAAUCUCGUAAGGCGGAAGCGCGAGGCUUUAAGGAGGCAAUAAACAUGUGUGGUAGCAUGAGUUUGAUAAGGAUGUUAGUAGAACUUGAUUAUAAGCAAGUGGUUCACGACAUCUCCAAAUCAGAUUUUGGUACCGUUCUAAAUGCUUGUAGAGUUUCUCAUCUAAAUUUUAAAAUAAAUUUUAUUAGGAAACAAACAAAUAAUAUCGUUUAUUUGUUAGCAAGGACGUCAUUGUUAUAUGUUAGUUCACAUAUUUAUGAUCAUAAGCUCAUAAAGACACGACCUUCAAGCUUAUAUUCUGAAUAGAGAAUUGAUAUUUAAAUAACAAUUUUUAGACAACUUUUAUUACAAAUCUCUCUUAUAUUCUCGUUGUGCUUUUAUUAUUUUUUUUUCUCUCUCUUUUUUGUUAUUGUCCAAUAAAAAAGAGGAAAAGAGUUGUCACUAAAAAUUGUUUAAAAUUAUUUAUCAAAAUAUCAUUUCUCAUUUGAAUAUACUGAUCUUUACUCUAAUCCAAAAAAAAAAAAAAAACUAACCAUUAAUUUUAUUAUUUUGUUUAUUUGUCUGCAUUGCCUGGGUCAUGGUUCCCUACAUCAGCUUCUAUGAUUAGCUUCUGAUCUGCUGUCACACCUGGCAACAUUAUUUGAUUUUGACACGUAGGCAUACUAGUCUACGACACGUGGAUUGUUCGUGUCAUUCUCUGACAACAUGAUUCCUGAGAACAAUAAACUUACGGGUCCCACUAAGAAUUCAAUGAAUAUUCAAUGUAACGGAAAACUGGUCAAAGAAAAAAGGUAACGGAGAACGGUGGUUUAUUUUAUGCAGAACUGAACCGGACCGGUUCGACUUUGUUCAGUAGAUGCCGCCGCAAAUUGUAAUCGGUUGCUUGCAUUGCAUGGGUAUGUAUGAAUCCGUAAUUUCCUCUUUUCUUCUUUUCCUUUAUAUUUUUUUAAAUCUUUUUAUUUUGUUUUUUCUGAUUCAAAUUUCUUUUGAUAAAAUUGUUAAAUUAUGCAUGAGUCCGUAUAAUACGUGACUCGCGAGAUUCUAGGGUUCAUUCACAAAUCAAAGUGUUUUGAUAUAUUUAUUCUAUGAAAAUAAAUUAAAGAUAAUUUUUAUGAAUAGUGUAAAAUUAAAAAAUAAUUAAAUUUUAUUUCGCUAAUUUUUUUGAUAAAUAAUAUUUAAUUAUAUCAAUGAUUGGAAAACAAACUUUGAUAAAAAAGGUAGGAAAUAAUGAUAGGAAAUGUUUUUAUUUUUAUUUUUAAAAAAGGCUUAAAUAUUUUUUUUGUCAUUUAUCUUUUACCAAAUUGUAAUUCGAUUUGGUCCUUUAUGUUUUCUCAAAAUCGUUAUUAUCCUUUAUUAUUUUUAAAAGGUAAUGUUUUAAUCCUUUAUACACAUCAAAAUAGGACAAAAAUAUCAUCUUUUAAAACGAUAAAAGACUCGUGUAAAAAAAGAAAAUAAUAAUUUAAAGAUUAACAAUAAAAGAUAAAAAUCAAAACGAAUUUUAAACAAAAGAUAUAGGACAAAAAGUAUAUUAAAGCUCAAAAACACUUAUUCAAUUAAUAAUUUAAAGAUUAAAUUUACUGGUACAUAUCGAAUUGAUUCAUGUACCUUAGGAUUUCUCGUAUAAUAUAUACUUCAUGUCUUGAAUAAAUGAUCAUAUUUCAUAAUUUUUUCAUCAAAACUUCUUUUUAUUAUUCCAAUUUAAAUCUUUAUUAUAAUUUAUAUUAAUGUAUAUUUAUGUGAGAAACACGUUAGAGUGUCUAAUACAAGACUACUGCCCAACCAAUAACAAGGGUUAGGCCUAGCCAAAAAAAAAAAAAAAAAAAAAAAAAUAUAUAUAUAUAUAUAUAUAUUCUUUUUUUGCACAAAUUUAACACAACUCAAUAUAGUCCAACAUUCUUUAAAAAAAAACAUAAUUUGAUAUUAAUAAAAGUUUUCAUCAUCGUUUAACGGUGAAUAAUCUCCAUCAAAGAAGAUUUAGGGCAUACGAAAUGGAUUCUAUCAUUUCAACUGUUUUUUUUUUCCGUACUUGAGUUAGAAAUCGAAUCUUUGAUCACAUGUUUAAGGAAUCUAAAUUCCUUACAACUUGAACCAAUUCAUUGUUGAUAACAUAAUUCCAACUUAAAACACUAAAUCACCACAUUUACUUUUAAAAAAAAAAUGUUUUAAAUUACUAAAAUAACCCUAAUAAAUGUUAGGAUUAUCUUAGUAAUUUCAAAGGAAAAUGCUUCUUAUCGCGAGCACAAUUGACGCGAAUUAUUCCGAACAGUUAUAUACACAUGCACUGUUUAUUGUAGUAGGUCCCUCUUUUGCAUCCCACCAUCUGUUUUUUGAGCCUUGGACUAAUCUAACGGGAGAAACUCUUCUUGAUAAAUUCGCUUGGUUUAACUCUUGGGACAUAUAGCACUACUGAAUUUCAAAACAUAAUAAGGUCAUGAGUCACUAAUUCAAACUUAGUUGCGUUAAAUAACUCUUUAUUUUAAGUGUUAUCAAAUGCGACAAUAAUUUUGUCUUUAAUAAAUAUUAUUAUUUAUUUUGAAAAUGCAUAUCACUUCAUUUUCAAAGCAUAUAACUCCGUUGAUAUGUAUAAUUACAUAAUGCUGGGGUAGACAUUUAAAUCUUAGAUUUUCAACUUAUUCACCUAUAAAAUUUCUCGUUAACAUACUACUUGACUAAAAAACAUGCAUUUCACUUUCAAAUUUUUCUUUAAAUUUGAAAAUAUGUUGGGUAGUGUUGAUGCAUGCAUGUUAACACCAACAAAAUAGUUGGUCGAAAUCAUGUAUUGGCCACUCAGCUGAUGACAAAGUAUUUGUCAAUCGAUUUGAUCAGAAUAGUUGGUCGAAAUCUAUAUGGCCUUAAGUUUGUUGUUGAGUAUUAUUAACAUAUUCAUGGAAAUGUUGAAUAAAAGCUUUAUAAACAGUAAUAUAGAGCUAACCACAUCAAAAAUGCCCUGCUACAACUUUCCUAGACCCAGACAUUUGCAAAGUAGUUUUUUUUAACAACAAAUUUUUUUAAAAAUCAGAAGUUGAAGGUGAUUUUGGAGAAAAUAUAGAAAUGGAAGUUGUGCAACUUAAAUUAAGGGCAAUUUGUGAGUUGACUAAAUAAAAACUUGAACAAACAUUUCCUGCUACAUUAAUUGGAAUAGUAAAUUUUAGCUCACAACUCAACUAAUUAGGCAAGAUACGUGUUGAUCAAGUUAAGAACGUAGGGGAAGAAUUUUUUUUUUUCCUUAAAAAAAAUUAGGUUAUAGUCAAUUAAUAUGAAAUUGCUACAAGAAAUUUUACAUAUGGAAAAUUUUAGUGACGGCAACUAAAACCUACCCACAAUCAACAAGUUGAUAAAGGGUAUAGGUCUUGUGUACUCUGGAUAUACAUUUAUGUUCGUGGGUGUGCUUCUCUAAAAAAUAGUUUGUGGGUGUGCUAUUGUUAAAGAUUCUUAGAUAUUAUUGAUAGAUUUUAUUUUGUGUAUAAUUAGAUUAUUGUUAAAAAUUCUUAGAUAUUGUUCACAAUUUUUUUUAUAUAUUGUGUAUAGCUGACUAUUAGUAAUUAAUAAAUUACUUCGUAAUAAAAAGAUUGAGUUCAAGUUCUCAUAUUAGGAUGAAUUGUUUGGAAGAAUCUGAAUUUGAUUUUUGGAUAAAUAAUAUUUAAUCUGAAAUUACUUAUUAUUGGCGGAACUCUGGAUCACCAUAACCUCAUUCAUUUUUUUUUUUUGAGGGAAUAACCUCAUUCAUCUUAUAAUCAAAGAAUUAACACAAAAAGUACUAUUAAUUUACAUAUUUAACAACAAAUUCGUAGAAUUUCCCUCAAGAAGCUUUUGGUAGUUGCAUAGUGGCGAAUCUAACUUGUUGUAACAAAAAAAAUAAAAAAUACUCUAACUUGUCAAACUUUAAUGCAAAUGGUAUUCACAACAUGCAAGUUUUAUAACUAGUUUCUACUGAGGCCCAACAUGCUAAGGAACUUGUGAAUGAAUCCCGGGCGAACAUGACUCAGAAUGUAGAGACUGUUGAUUUAGUUGAAAACACAAAUCAGUAAUUUCAGUUGGUGGUUCUAAGAAAAAAGAAGAACAAUUUAAACCAACAACAUGUUAAGGCUAGCAAAGGGUUUAAAGUAAGUGUUUCCAAUCACUCGUCUUGUUAAUACUUUGGUGUGUACUGUGUAGUUGUCCCUCGUGCAUUCAGACAUUUCUUUUUGUUUUCGUAUUUCUUUUUCACAUUUUGUUUUUCUAGAGGGUUUUGACUUUAGUCUUCCUCUUUCUUUGUUCUUUCUUUUAAUAUAUGAUCAGAGUGUUACAACAAACGACUCAUUUGCAUCUUAUCUUUCGCUUAAAAAGAAGUUGAACUUCUCCUAAAAAAAAUAGUAGAAUACUUAGGAUUAUGUUUGAACAACAUAAUAAUAAACAUAUCUAAUAGUUUGAAAGAGAACUAUAUUUAUUAUUUACUUACUAUUUAGAGUCAUAUUUUUAUCUUUAAAGAUAAAAACGGAUUUCAUGAGUAUUAUACUUAAUUGGGAAGACGGUGAGUAGGGCCGGCAAUGAACCGAACCAACUCGAAAAUAGUUCGAGAUUCGAUUUGAUAAUUGACUCAUUAAACUUGGUUCAUGAACCAAAUGAGUCGAACUUGAGUUGAAAAUUAAGCUCGUUAAAUAAAUGAGUCGAACUUGAGUUGAGUAUGGUUCGACUCGUUUAGUUCAUGAACCAGCUCGAUAUAUAUAAAAUAUUAUUUUGCAUAUUGUUAUAUAAUAUGUAAUUUAUUACAAGCUUCUUCUAAUAAUUAUGUACUUUUUUCAUAGGAAUUAUUACUAAUUUGAUUAAUAAUCAACAAUAAUUGUUAUGAUAGAGGAAAAAAGUUAAUAUCUUUUGAAGGCUUUUAAACAAACAUUUGUACACAAAAAGUCCCACAUCGGGUGUUUUGAAAAUAUUAGAGAGUAAGAUUGUAUAUAUAAGAGAGGUGGAUGAUAAUGAGUACAAUAUAAAACAUGGUAUGGGCUACAGUAGUAAGUGCUACUACCUUUCUACCUUCAUAGUUUUAUUUAAUUUAUAUUUUUGUUUUAUUUUUAAGUCAAAGACAUGUAUUUUUGACAAAAAAAAAUUUUGAAGAAAAAAAGCUACAAAGUAUACAAUUCGAGUAGACGAAUUGAACCUAACGAGCCGAACCGAGUUGUUCGUGAACUUUAAACGAGUCGAACUCGAGUUUAAAAAAAGAUUUGUUUCAAACUCGAGUCGAGUUAUGAACCGAAUCAAUUCUUAUCGAGUCGAGCUUAGAGAGGUUCGACUCGACUCGACUCAUUUCCAGCCUUAAGGGUGAGUAAAGUUUCUGAGUUGGUAUCCCAAACAAAGGACCACUGAAUUGGACAGUUUUGAAUUUAAUAUCCUACAUAGAAGAAAGGGACCUGCCCAAGACCUUGGAGGGUGGGGUAUAUUGAAAGAGACAAUCUGUCUCUCACCUAUUUCUCUCAAAGUUGUAUUAAAUUUUGACAGAGAAUUCAAUAUAGUCAUGAAAAAUAUGUUGAAAGCCUUUGUUUUUGGCAUGCAAAAUAUUCAAAAAUAGACUUAUCCUAGUGUUUAAUUGAUGUCAGUAUUCCACCCACUUACAUUUUUUUUAAGAAGCAAAAACAAUUGUAUUAGAAAGUUAUUCAAGCAAGAGAUGUGUCUAAACUCUAAAAUGAAACUAACAAAAUGCCAUAGAAAGGACCAAACGAACAAAACAACAAAAUCAAUAACAUUAUUGUAAAAAAAAAAAAAAAAAAACUCAUUAAUUAAGAUGUGAAAUAACAAAGACAAACAAACCAAGAAAUCAACUCAAAAGACAAACAAACAAAGACUUUUACUUUAACAAUUACAUCAAAGGCAAUUUCUUAUGACAAAAAAUGCGAGGGCUUAAAUAGGCAUAAAUAGAUAGAUAACUCUCAAAUUAUUAUACUUCAUUAUGCAUUAAAGACAUAAAUAAUCUAUAUAAAUAAGCAAGGCUGGUCCAAAAACAAGUCGAUCAAGGUAUCAAUCAUCAUAGACCUCCAAAAUAUUAGAAAUUUACUUCUUAAAAAGUCCUUAUAUUCUACAAUUUCCAAAACAAAAAUUAAUAAAACAUAUAUAAAACCAAUAUUGUAUAUAUCAACAAAUAUUAAAUCAAUUGAAAACGUCACAUCGAACGAAAUCGAUUAUACAAUUUCAUGAAUGGUUUUGUUUAUCAAAACGUAUACAAACUAAAAUUUUAACCAAAAUUUUGUAAAUUUACAAAAGGACAUUGUUAAUGGCUUAAAAAUGGAUCAUAUUAAAAUUUGUCGUAAUCCUUCAUAUAUAUGUAUGAUGCAUGGACUUUCUUAAAAAAAAAUAUAUAUAUGGACUGACCCUAAAAAUAGUUCUAACAUAUACAUUAGAAGAAUGUAAUUAUCUCUAUCAGCUCGUAGACCCAGUUCAGCUAUUUUUUUCAUUAAAAAAGUUAUAAUAAUCUAACUAAAGUGACAAAAUUAUUUAGGGAUAAAAGUGACAAAAUUAUUUAGGGAUAAAAGUGACAGGGACAUAUUGAUAGAAUGUAUAAUUUUUGUUAAUUUGUAUAAAAAUCUAAAGUAACACUGGCACGUAAGAUUUCGUCUUUAUAUGAUAAUAAUCACAAAUCUAAGAAAGAUUCCUAAACAAAUUGUGCCCUUUUUGUUCUGUCGGCAGGGUUUAUUACUAGUGAGUGAUUAACAAUUUUAGUUUAAUUUAUAUGUAUUAUCAGUCUAUUAAAAAAAAUAAAAAUAUUACCUCUACAAUAAUUAUUCAUACUUUACAUGUGUUUUUCUCUGUGGUGCCCUACCCAAACCCCAAAUUUCUUCUUAUACAUCAUAUUCAAACUUUUUGGAUUCGUCGUUCCAAGUUUUAUUUUUUAGAAUGAGUUUUGUUUCACCAUGGCCCUUGGUGAUAAUGCUCUCCAUUUAUUUAUAACAAGUGGGUUCAACAAUAUUGUGUAGCUUUAUAUGUACCUCUCUUCUUUGUAGAGUAGUGGUUGAGUUGAGUGAAAAUUGGGAGCUAAACUCAUAAUAUUAUUUUUAACAGGUUACAAACAUUGUUAACUUAAAAGGGAGGUAUUCAUCACAUGGGAAAUUAAAUGGGAAGGUCAAUGUCAAGUUAAAAAAUAGAGGGGUGUGAUGGAGAAGGUGAAUGUAGAGUUUUUUGAUAAAAAAUAAUACAAGUUACAAAAUUUUAUGUAGUAACUAAAAAAAUCAAUAGUUAUUUCAUCGAGUAAAAAGGAUAAUAUUAAAGAUAAAUCUCCAAAUUCACCCGUCGUCUUAGUUUUCAUAAAGUGAACUGAUUCAACGACAAUUACUUAACCAACACCAAGAACCUUCGAAAGCACCUAAUAAGUGGUGUGGGAUUAGAAAAUCACAAUGGAGCCACCGUGAUUUUGUGAAGCUAUAAGGCAUAGUUUUUGUCAAAAGUUAUGGUGGUUUGCGGUGAUUUUAUCAUCAAUCUCGCUUCUCAUCCAAACAUACACUAAUUAAUAUUACAUGGAGAGAUAAGACACCAAUAUUUCAUAGGCUAUGAAUUAUCACAUUUGUCUGUAAGGGCAAUAUUUGUAUUGUAUAGUUUAGGGAGUCUAAAAAAACACAUGUCUCCAGCCAAAGACAAAACCUCUAAGAAAUAUCUUAUCCACAAAGGUACCCAAAACCUCUAUCAGAAACCUAGACUUAGCCCAUUUAGGACCUAGACAUUAGGUCCCCUCCCUAAACCUGUUGAAAGCUAUUUCAUUGAGUUUUAAAUGUGGUUAUGUUCUUUCCACAUCUCUAAAAGCUAUAUCUUGGGAUUGUAUGUCCUGAUUUGUGUGAAAAUCAAAGACAAAGAAGGGAAUAUCCAGGAUUCUAUCACUGUGAGUUGAAGUAUGUUGAAUUGCAUGGUUGUGUUAGUCAAAUGAUUGAAAUUGAGCUUGCUAUUCAUUAUUUAAAGAAUGUGAUUUCACUAGAGCAUAUCACUUUCGAUCAUAAUGAAAGCAGCUUAAAGCUAAGCCUAUCAUGAGCAGCGUCGCUGCUUGAUCGGCAGUUCGAUAACCUAUUUAGGAGAUGGAAGAUGGUUAGAUGUUUUUCACCAUCUUUCCCAUUGGACUGAGCCUGGGCGCAAUUUGAUUCGUGAAGAACUUCAAAAUUACGUCAAUGGAAUUACCAUACUCAUAGAUUCCUCAAGCACACUGCAAGUCAUUUUAGGAUUUUACUACUUUUACUUACAAAGGCAAAAAUAUAAUUCUGCACAAUAUUUUGCUUUCUUCGCAUACGAUAGUUGAAAGUUUUCUCUUUUCAUAAUACAUCACUUAAAAUAUUAAAACAUAAAUAUUGCAGAAUUUCUUAGAGCAAUUUCUCUAUUUGGUUCGUUCACUUGAAUUCUAUGGUUCUCAUUAUCCAUUUUUUCCUAUUAUUUUGUAGACUAAAUGUCUAAAUUGGUAUUAAGAAAAAACAUAGACCUGUAUGGUCCUUGAAAAAUGACAUCAAAAAUCUUAAAUGCUGAUCAAAUUAGUCUAUAGGUGGCAGCGAUACCAUUCACACACCCAUUCAAAAAUUAGGACUCUCCAAAUUAUUUGAUACAUUAUGUAGAUGACAAUUCAAAGUGGAUCACACUUGAUGAAAAUCGAUGAUUAUAAAGCUAAAACAACCACUUACUAAUGUAAAUACUAACUCUUACAGUUUGUUCGUCAUCAUAGACCGCAUGUCUUAGUUGAAUAGAAUAAUCCGGAUUUGGUAUUGAAAAAAAAACAGUUUAAUUUCAAUUUCAAUGUUGGUCCCUUGGAAUGUCGAGGUCUUUAAAUACUGGACUGUCAACUCCAACUCCCAUGGCGUUUAGUCCGUUAUCCACGUAUAUGACAGCACCAGUGAUAGCUGAUGCUAAGGGUGAUGCCAAGAAAGCAGCAGCGUUGCCUACCUCCUCUGUUACAAAUACUCCAAAGUAUAAGUAAUUUGCAUACUAAAAAGUAGAGAAAUGUUCAUUUCAGAAAAGGAAGAAUCUCAAGGGUAAUAAUAUUACCUGCAUGUAGUUCUUUCUGUAGUGGUGCAUUCGUAAAUGAAUAAUCAAUCAUCAUAUCAAUGAAACCAAUGGCUUUCGCAGCACGGCUUCCAAGUGGACCUAGGCAUUGAAAACAUUUUGAAUCAAUAUGCGACACAGAGACAUUCACAUUGCUAUUUGCUCAUUAAUACAUAAAAUAUAUUAGUCAAUAUAUGAUUACAAUUUAGAAAGAAAAAAAAUUUGUAAUCAUGAUAAGCAUGCAUAGCUACACACUUUUACCCCCACCUAUAUCAGUAUAAGUUCUUAUACUAACAGUCUGUCGCAAAACACAUUUUUUUUGUCUUUAAGUAAGACAUACCGAACAUGUAUCAUAUCCAGAUGAUAGUUGUGUGUGUCUUUAGUUGACAAAUGUAUAUGAGAAGUAUCGGUGAAAGUAUUUUUUAAAUUUAAAUCCUUAUCGAAUACUUUUUGGGUACGUCUCAGGAAUUAUAAGACAGAUAUCUGUGUCAAAUACGUUUUGGACACCGAUACUCUUCCAUUUUUUAAGUAUCUAGGAUUCAUAGUUUGUCAACAUCCACGGAGUUUACUGACAAGCAAAAAUCCAACUUGGAGGAAAAAGUUAAUAACAACAUUAGGUGGGAUUAGCGGAAUUAUUUGACGUUGUAAAGUCGUAUCAUAUAUCUGGUCUAAAAAUGCUUUUAAAUCCCUCUUAAUAGUUUGUUCUACGGUUUUUUCAGUCUUACUUUAGCUCUAAUUAUUGGACUAUCCCUCUGGGUCAAAUCUCCCUACCAAUGCUUCUACAAGUCUUCUCAAUACAUGCUCAAACCAUAUACGACAAUAUUCUAAUUCAACCCGUUUCUGUAUUUUGGAAGCUAUCCUAAUUUUCUCUAUAUGAUUGUAUUUCUAUUCCUAUCUUGUCCUGUGUAAACCACUCAUACGUAGUAACUUUUCUCAUAUCUUGAUACUAAGUUUACGAUGAUGAACCCUAAGUAGGUAAAAUAUGAGACUUGUCGUAUCGUAAUUUUCGCUUCUGCCUUAAAAAUUGUUUGUUCAUUGCUAAACUUGUGUAAGUUGCGUUCGAUAUAACCCAAUUUACUUACUUACACUUAGGCAGAAACCUUGUAUUUCUAAAACUUGCAACCAAAUCUCUAACUUCUCAUUUAUCUCUCUCUUCUAGUCAAUUCUCUCGUUCUCACGCAAAUACAUUUUUAAGCUCCAUCACUCCACGGCUUAAUUUUAAUAAUUUUGUCAAUUAUAGAGUUCUGAUGAUUAGCAUAGCAUUUUCUUUUUUAUCAGUCAUCACCACUUUUCAGGGAGUUAGAAAGCAAAAAUGCUAGAUGGUAACAAAAUACAGCCAGAAUAUAAAAGAUUUUACAAAAGUUCCUCUUUAACAGAAAACAUUGGCAUCAGUCAAAUGCUCAUAUGGAUGUAUUGCAGGUGAAAAGGAAAACAGGCAAAAUCUUAGACCUAUAACCACCUCUAAUACCACUAAUGUAACACCACUUUUUAUUUAACUUAAAAUAAUAAAAAGAACAUAAUUUUUGAAAAAUUUCGAAGUUACUUUCCUUUUUUUAAAAAAAAAAAUUGCAUAAUCUGUAUAUCGAAUUGAUUGCACUAGUGAGAAGCUUUAUUUAGUCUUUGAUUUUAAAAUAUAAAGCCAGUUGUGACAAGCCAUCAAUACCUGCAGAUAUAGUAUUAACUCUGAUUCUUUUCUUUCUACCAGCUUCAAAAGCAAGCACCUGAUAAAUGCAAUUUCAAAAAUGCAAAGGGGAAGAGGCGGAAGUUAGGAACACAAAAGUACCGAAACACACGUAUUUAUGCGUGUAAUAUCACAAUUUUUAUAAAGAAAACGGUAGACUCACUCUUGUAUCACUUUCCAAAGCAGCUUUAGCAGAACUCAUACCCCCACCAUACCUGCAUAUCAUUCAGUUCAAAACUUUGUCAAUGAUUUUUUUUAAUUAAAAUACAGAACUAUGAGUCGUUAGCAUAUCAAACAUACCCAGGAAUAAUCCUCUCUGAAGCAAUGUAUGUUAGAGAUAGUGAAGAUCCACCUUGGUUCAUGAUUGGAAGAAAGUGUUUUAGUAAAGAAAUAUAAGAGUAACUAGAUGCGGACAAGGCAGCUAGAUAUCCUUUCCGAGACGUCUCGGACAAUAGUUUACUGACCUACAAUAGAGUUGAUUUCUUUGUUAAAGCUCAAGGCAUAAGUUAGAAGGAACCAUCAUCUCGUUAUUGUAAUAAUAAUACCUCUGGUCCAUUAGCAAGUGAGUGCACAAGUAUGUCAAUAGUGCCGAAAUCCUUCUUAACAGAUUCAACAACUUCCUGCAAGGAAAUAUAAACGCAAAGCAGACUUAUGAGAACCAGCGUUAUUUAAACACAAGAUGAAACAUGAAUAAUAGAGUAAUAAAAGAACAAUAACAAGCAAGCCUUUAGCAAUAGGUGGAGUAGGCUACAGAGAUCGAUCAUCGUCAAAAGGCCUUAUUGUGUAUUAGGUCCGAAGAUAGGCCAUUUACCUCUAAUCCCGCUUAAUGAUUUGAUCAACAGUCUUCUUUGAUUCCCUCUACCUCUAGGCUCUAACUAUUGGAGUAACAUUUGUACAAAUUUUUUUUAUAGGUCUUCUUCCAACAUGCAUGAACCAUUUCUUUACCACGGAAACUACACCAAUUUGAUCUCUAUGAUUAAAUUUUCCUUUCAUGUGGAAUCUGAUAGGUUUGUUAUUGUUAGUUAAUGGGUGUGUUGAGAGUUAGAUAGGCCAAAUAAGGCAUGCUGCCUACAAAUGGAGCGGAGGAUUAGAAAGAGAAUCAUCUUGUCAUCUUGUCACGUGACUGAAAGGUCACGGGAUCAAGUCUUGGAAACAGCCUUUUGUGUAAAAAAGCAGGGUAAGGCUGCGUAUAAUACACCAAUUGGUGGGACCCCUUCCUGAACCCUGCGUAUGCGGGAGCUUUAGUGCACCGGGCUGCCCUUGGGGCCUUUCGGCAUUGGGAGACUCUAGAGUCUCUCGAAUACUCUAGGAGUUCUACUGUAAUUUGGGAUCUUCACUAUUACUUUUAGUAAUACCAGUUGGUCUCUAUCCGAAUCACUCGUCCAUCAUAACCUUUUACCACGCGACAUUAAAUUACUUACAAUAUUUUUGGUCUUAUAGUUUGUGUGAUAAAAUAUUCCUUCAAAGCUUGAGGAAUACAUUUCAAUUGCAUAUCAAACCAAAAUCGUAGAGUAAAUGCUUCUAAUUAAAUGAUGUUCAGUGUGCUUAGGUUUUGCCUGCUAGCAGAAAAGAAGUACCUUAUGUUUCAAAAAGCAUUAUCUAGGAUUCAUUUCACUUAGGAAAAAAUACCAAAUAAAAAACUUGAAGAAAAUCAAGUAAGCUUAUGAAAUAAUAGAUGAAUCAAAACUUUCAUAUUCAAGCUUGGUCAGAGAAAAGUGGAAGAUGGAUAAGUAAUCCCUCUAGCUUGUGACUAAGGAAGUUAUGUGAUGAAGGGUCAACCUAUUAAUGUCUGAUACUGAUGAAAUCAAGAUUUUUAUCCAUUUCUUUAAAAGGAAUUAAUCAUGAUUUUUAUCUCCAAAUUAAUGCUGAUCACUUUAGUUCCAACAGUGCUGCCGUUUUAAAAAUGUCUUUCAACAUUCUUUUGACACCAAUGUUGUCCAUGAGGAACAGAACAAUCUUUGAGAGAUAAAAUCACAUGUAGAGCAUGAAUGUAUUCUAAAGUGUACAAGAAAAGUGGAACAUACUCCAAUUGAACAUUAAUCUCAUGUUAAAAGCCUUAUUUUAUUGGAUUUUGAAGAAAAAAAAUUGGUGACUUACAAUGUAAAUUUGGAAUAACUUUUCUAGCUUAUUUAGCAAGAUGAUAUCCAGCAAGAUGCUCUCCUCUAUGAACAACUUAUGUUCUUAACACAUGAAUGAUUUCUUAAUAAUAGUUUCAGAAAAGACUAAUGAUAUAUAUUCAAAAUAUAUUAUAAAUUAGUUUAAAAAUCUAUUGGAACAAAAUUGAAACUAACUUCGCAGCAGAGAUCGAAAGAGUAUUAUAACUGUAGCGAAGUAUAGAUAACAGAACGAUAAUAUAUACCUGGACAGUCCAAUUUGAAGCUCCAGCAUAGCGCUUAUUAGCUUUUACCUAUACAAUUUUCACAGAAAAUAAAUGAUGAUAUAUUUUGUGCAUGGUUUUUGUAUCUUUUAAUAAAAUAUAUGAACAUCUCACUUACAUCUUCUGGGACAUCUUCGGGAGUGUCAUAGACUGCAUCCAAGGGAUACACUUUAGUAAUCUCCAUCAAUGAUCCAUCUUGAAGCCUGAAAAGUGGAGAGUUGCCUGUUAGCAACAUACUUGAAAUUUUACAUUUAUUGACAAAGGAACAUCAUUAUAGCAAAGUUUAAACGUCCUACUUGCGUGAUUCGUCAAAUUUUCCACGUCGUAGACUAGACUCAAAUAUAUUUAGAGCCUGCAUGAAAAUGUUAACAGUUAGUACCUGACAGACUGACUCUAUAAACUAUAAAUCAUCGCACUAAUAUAACUAGACUUCAGGCAGUGUUGUCAAACGCGAACCACAAAAAAUAGCAGUUUGUUCAAAUUAUGUUACACAACAGUGCUAUAGCGUGCUGCUAUAGCCGCUGUUUGACAACAUUCUGUACUAAAUAUCGUAUAGCGGAACAAUAGCAUUUUGUCCAAAUUCUGCUACACUAUAACCACUAUUUAACAACAUUGCUUCAGGAACAAAAUAAAAUUUCAAACAGACAACAUUAGAAUUCUGUAAUAUUUAUUUACUUACAGGUACCCAUGUGCCAACAAGAAUUUCAGCUCCUGCUUCUGCAAGAGAUUUUGCUAUUGCCCAGCCAUAUCCAUUGUCAUCAGCCACACCAGCAAUAAAUGCCCUUUUACCUGCACAUAAAAUUACUUUCAGUGAAGUGCUACGUUUUCUUAUAAUAUGGUUACUAUAUAUAUGCCGUACCAAUACAAUUGUAUAAUGUCAAAUCAAACAUAACAAUAGACACCGUUAAAAAGAAGAAAAGCAUCAGAAAUAACUGAUUUAUGAGGGGAAAACGUAAAAGUGAAGAUAUUAUCUUGGCUUAUAUUAUAACCAGCCUCAAAUGCAAAAGACUCCUUUCAACAGCCUAUGUACUGACAUAAGCACUAAUGAGAUUUUCUGGAAUAUCUUAUAGAAACAGCUUACGACAUGUUCAUAAGCAGUUUUCAGCUUAUUUCCAUAAGUUUUCCGUGAUAGCUUAUGAAAACAGCUUAUAUAAAAAUAGUUUGACUUUACUUUAUCUUUUGUUAUAGAAAUGGGUUUUACACAAGUACUUAUAUGAUAAGAGCUUAUGCUAUAAGCAUAAUUACGCUGUGUAUCCAAAUUUUGAUUGGUAAACUAACUUUAAGUAGAUUUUGGAGUGAGUAAACUGUUAAUAGGGAUGUGGCCACAAAAAAGAUACUUCCUUCUAACAUUACUUCAGAUGAGUAUAGGAAGAGUGAUAAAGGGAAGAAGUUUUUUAAAUCACAAAGUAAAACACAGACACACAUGACAAGUAUAAAAACAAAAGCAAAAUAGACACUAUGAUACGAAGGAUUCACGGAAAAAGAAGUGAAACCUCUCAAAUCAAUUGGCAAUCCUGUAGCUUGCUUGUUUGAACUGGACUCGGCCAUUGCCUUUGUUACAAUUUUGUCGAAUUUUAAGGUAUGUGAUGUUGAGGACAGCUGGAAGGGUUUUGCCAAGGCAACAUGACAAACACUUCCUAGUUUAGCACACGAGCCAACUUUAACCCUGCUUCCAACAAUUGCCGGACCUAAAUUUGAAAACUUUUGUGAUGGGGUAAUCCUAGGUCUUGACAUUGCAAUCGACAUAUUAGAAACUGUUGUUGUUGCCAUUUCGAAUUAAUGUAAUUUGAGGGUGGAAUGCGUUAAUCUGCACAGAAAACUAACAUUAAAAACCAAAAAUUAUAAUACAACAAAAAUGAGCAGUUCUAUUUUCACUAGUCCAAACUUAAUAUAAAUUCCAAAUAAUAAAUUAGGACUCCUUGAUAAAAUGUUUGAAAUGGUCACCAUUUGAAAAUUUCCUUGCUUAUCCCAAAAAAAUUGAUUACAGACUUUGACUCCAACAUUACAUCAAGCAUUCUUGUAACUAUAAUUAUCACAAAAUAAACCUUGAAUUUAUAACUUACUCGUAAAUUUAUAUCCUAUGAAACACCGACACAAACACGAACACCAGGCACAACGACACUACGACACUGACACAUCGACAACGGUAAUAAUUUAAGAAAAUGACAUAAUUGAAUGUAAUCACAUGUCUAGUGUUGUGCUGGCAGACACUGGGACACACCUUCGAUCAGAAGUGUCGGUGUUGUCGUUGGUGCUACUGAGCUUAUAUCUAAUAUGAAUUUCCAAAGGAGCAAAAUGCAUUUUUUUUAAAGGCAUAAACCAAACCAUAUGCUAUGAUUACGCAAAAAGCACAAUGAAUUGACUGAAAAGGUAAAAAUACAAAAGCCCUUUACUGCAUUAGAGCCAGAUUCCAACAAAAGCUUAUUAUUUUCAUACUAACCUUCCAAAUUAUGAAAAACAUGAAAACCCUCUUAGUUUUAAUUAUUAGAUCCAAAUAAAUUUCCACCUUUGAUCCAAAAACUUGUUAAAAAAAUCCACUGGCAAAUCAUAAUAAAACUGUUCGAAUUUAAAUCAACAUAAACACAGAAACAUUCUUCAUACACAGAGAUUUAAGCCAUGUUUCACGAUAGAUUCAACAUUUACAUAAUUGCACUAUAGAAACCAAACAAAUAAGAACAAGAAAAGGAUCAUAGGAAGUGAAGUGUUGUUACCUUUUUGAUAAGAAAAUGGAUCAAUGUGGAGAGAGAAAUGCGAGAGUUUGAAGUGGUAAUGUGUAUGAAUGAGAUUAAGGGUAGAAAAUGGAGAGAAAAAAAACUUAGCAAUGUGUGUGUCGAUGGAAACGAUGUAGUUGUGUUUUUAUGUGAAGUUGUUCGAAGUAGUUGAGCUUUGGAAGUGUCGAAUGUUAAACAGUCCCUCGUACUUGUUUUUUGUUUGGAACUUGUUUUUGUUUUCUUUUUCGUCCAUCGUAAAUAAAAUAAAAUAAAAAUAAUAUUAUCUCCGUCACCAGUGUAUAAGACUCUUUUGCUAAAAUCACGUAAAUUAAGAAAGUAGAUAUUUGUAUUAAAGUUGUAUUUAAUCACUAUUAUUUUUACAAUUUUAUUCUUAAGAGAUAGUUGGUUUAUGUUUUCCAUAUGCUAUUUAUUGUUAAUUGAAGAAAAAGAUGUAUAAUAAAUAUGGGCAUGUAUGUAAAAAAUAAUUAAUGUAGUUGAAAAUAGCAGAGUGGUCUUAUAAAAAUGGACAAAAAAUUCUCAAAAGAGUCUUAUAAUUAGGGACGGAGGUAGUACUAAAAGAAUACUUAUGUUUUUAUUCUAGAAUAAAAUACAAAUAAAAGUUUGUACAAAAAAAAAUACAAAUAAAAGUUUUUUUUAAUGGAAAUACAAAAAUAAAUAUAAACAAAAGUGAUAGUUGAAAUGGUGUAUAUGGUUAAAAAUUUAAUUCAAACACAACAAUUUUUUAACUAUCAAUUUU